RNAcentral lists this ribosomal RNA (791 nucleotides) under uncultured bacterium. RNAcentral's name for it is "bacterial SSU rRNA". It matches the Rfam family "Bacterial small subunit ribosomal RNA", at positions 28 to 813 of the family's 1533-position model. The record is from RNAcentral.
AUUGAACGCUGCGGCAGGCCUAACACAUGCAAGUCGAACGGUAACAGGAAGCAGCUUGCUGCUUCGCUGACGAGUGGCGGACGGGUGAGUAAUGUCUGGGAAACUGCCUGAUGGAGGGGGAUAACUACUGGAAACGGUAGCUAAUACCGUAUAACGUCGCAAGACCAAAGAGGGGGACCUUCGGGCCUCUUGCCAUCGGAUGUGCCCAGAUGGGAUUAGCUAGUAGGUGGGGUAACGGCUCACCUAGGCGACGAUCCCUAGCUGGUCUGAGAGGAUGACCAGCCACACUGGAACUGAGACACGGUCCAGACUCCUACGGGAGGCAGCAGUGGGGAAUAUUGCACAAUGGGCGCAAGCCUGAUGCAGCCAUGCCGCGUGUAUGAAGAAGGCCUUCGGGUUGUAAAGUACUUUCAGCGGGGAGGAAGGUGUUGAGGUUAAUAACCUCAGCAAUUGACGUUACCCGCAGAAGAAGCACCGGCUAACUCCGUGCCAGCAGCCGCGGUAAUACGGAGGGUGCAAGCGUUAAUCGGAAUUACUGGGCGUAAAGCGCACGCAGGCGGUCUGUCAAGUCGGAUGUGAAAUCCCCGGGCUCAACCUGGGAACUGCAUUCGAAACUGGCAGGCUAGAGUCUUGUAGAGGGGGGUAGAAUUCCAGGUGUAGCGGUGAAAUGCGUAGAGAUCUGGAGGAAUACCGGUGGCGAAGGCGGCCCCUGGACAAGACUGACGCUCAGGUGCGAAAGCGUGGGGAGCAACAGGAUUAGAUACCCUGUAGUCCACGCCGUAAACGAUGUC